RNAcentral lists this ribosomal RNA (253 nucleotides) under uncultured bacterium. Its description in RNAcentral is "partial 16S ribosomal RNA". It matches the Rfam family "Bacterial small subunit ribosomal RNA", at positions 524 to 776 of the family's 1533-position model. The record is from RNAcentral.
UACGAAGGGGGCUAGCGUUGUUCGGAAUUACUGGGCGUAAAGCGCACGUAGGCGGAUAUUUAAGUCGGGGGUGAAAGCCCGGGGCUUAACCCCGGAAUUGCCUUUAAGACUGCAUCGCUUGAAUCAUGGAGAGGUGAGUGGAAUUCCGAGUGUAGAGGUGAAAUUCGUAGAUAUUCGGAAGAACACCAGUGGCGAAGGCGACUCACUGGACAUGUAUUGACGCUGAGGUACGAAAGCGUGGGGAGCAAACAGG